RNAcentral lists this ribosomal RNA (253 nucleotides) under uncultured bacterium. RNAcentral's name for it is "partial 16S ribosomal RNA". It matches the Rfam family "Bacterial small subunit ribosomal RNA", at positions 524 to 776 of the family's 1533-position model. The record is from RNAcentral.
UACAGAGGUCUCAAGCGUUGUUCGGAUUCAUUGGGCGUAAAGGGUGUGCAGGCGGGCUGUUAAGUGGUGUAUGAAAUAUCCCGGCUCAACCGGGAGAGGUUAUGCCAGACUGGCAGUCUAGAGAGCGAGAGAGGGACGUGGAAUUCCGGGUGUAGUGGUGAAAUGCGUAGAGAUCCGGAGGAACCCCAGAGGCGAAGGCGGCGUCCUGGCUCGCAUCUGACGCUCAGACACGACAGCAUGGGGAGCGAACGGG